This 924-nucleotide long non-coding RNA is filed under the name Nicotiana tabacum (common tobacco). RNAcentral describes it as "long non-coding RNA (NTAB_LNC017442)". The record is from RNAcentral. Lineage: Eukaryota; Viridiplantae; Streptophyta; Magnoliopsida; Solanales; Solanaceae.
AAAAAUUACUUUACACACAAACCCUAAACCUAGCAAAUUACCGUCACUCCUCAUUUCCCCUUCCAUCUCUAUCGCCUCCUCCAGGCCUCAACCCCACCCAAACUCUCCCAACUCAGGCGAGUUCACCUCAAACUCACGCACAUGGUCCUUCCUCUCUCUCUUUGCCACGUAUCCUAAUGACUUCUGACAAACGAAAUUAUUCUUUCUGGAUUUCACGCAUGCUCUCUCAUUUUUUCUUUCAGAUUUAUGCUCUUUUGGCGAAAAUAGGAAACAUAUGGGGCGUAGGAUCGAGUCACAUUUGAUCUACUCUUUACAUCUGUCUUAUCUCGCCAAUUCGAGAUUUUCUGGAUUCUGGGGGUGAUUUUCGGAUUCUUUGGCAUGCAAGGAGAGAAGGUUCGAGAGAAGUUAUAAUAAGAGGUUUUUUCGAUUUUUUAUGAAGAAGAGAUUUUUGAUAGAAAAAAUAGGGUUCUAAGAGAGUGCUCUUCUUCUCCUCAAUUGUCCAUCUACAAUUUUUUUAGUUCUGAAAAAAGAAGGAAAAAAAAAAUACUUUCAGGAGAAUUGACUACACUUUCAGAAAUUUUUUUCCUUUGUCCAUCAUCUCCUGUUCUGAAAUAGCCAAUAUAUAUUUUUAAAAAAAAUCUUCAUUUCUUCCUUUCUUACUACUUCAUUGCUAUUGGGAUUUUCUGGAUUUGAAGUUUACUGAGCUUCAUUUUCUGCUUGAUUGCUGCUGAUUUCUGUCAAGUCCUAGUUGAUUCAACUUUAGUUGUGCUUCUCAAUCUCAGAGGCUUAUUUUCUUUUUGUUCUUACUGCUGUCCAGGUAUUGAUUUAGAUUCUGAAAAUGUAAUACCCUUUAAAUGGUAUAAUUUCUGGUUAAUUUCCAUUUAUCAUGUAAAUCUAUGUGAUGUUUAGAUAAUAAUUUGAUGG